This 1092-nucleotide ribosomal RNA is filed under the name uncultured Vibrio sp. Its description in RNAcentral is "bacterial SSU rRNA". It matches the Rfam family "Bacterial small subunit ribosomal RNA", at positions 441 to 1533 of the family's 1533-position model. Lineage: Bacteria; Pseudomonadati; Pseudomonadota; Gammaproteobacteria; Vibrionales; Vibrionaceae. The record is from RNAcentral.
GGUGGGGUUUUGUUAAUUAGCAUACUUCAUUUGACGUUAGCUGCAGAAAGAAGCACCGGCUAACUCCGUGCCAGCAGCCGCGGUAAUACGGAGGGUGCGAGCGUUAAUCGGAAUUACUGGGCGUAAAGCGCAUGCAGGUGGUUUGUUAAGUCAGAUGUGAAAGCCCGGGGCUCAACCUCGGAAUUGCAUUUGAAACUGGCAAACUAGAGUACUGUAGAGGGGGGUAGAAUUUCAGGUGUAGCGGUGAAAUGCGUAGAGAUCUGAAGGAAUACCGGUGGCGAAGGCGGCCCCCUGGACAGAUACUGACACUCAGAUGCGAAAGCGUGGGGAGCAAACAGGAUUAGAUACCCUGGUAGUCCACGCCGUAAACGAUGUCUACUUGGAGGUUGUGGCCUUGAGCCGUGGCUUUCGGAGCUAACGCGUUAAGUAGACCGCCUGGGGAGUACGGUCGCAAGAUUAAAACUCAAAUGAAUUGACGGGGGCCCGCACAAGCGGUGGAGCAUGUGGUUUAAUUCGAUGCAACGCGAAGAACCUUACCUACUCUUGACAUCUACAGAAGCCAGCGGAGACGCAGGUGUGCCUUCGGGAACUGUAAGACAGGUGCUGCAUGGCUGUCGUCAGCUCGUGUUGUGAAAUGUUGGGUUAAGUCCCGCAACGAGCGCAACCCUUAUCCUUGUUUGCCAGCACUUCGGGUGGGAACUCCAGGGAGACUGCCGGUGAUAAACCGGAGGAAGGUGGGGACGACGUCAAGUCAUCAUGGCCCUUACGAGUAGGGCUACACACGUGCUACAAUGGCGCAUACAGAGGGCGGCCAACUUGCGAAAGUGAGCGAAUCCCAAAAAGUGCGUCGUAGUCCGGAUUGGAGUCUGCAACUCGACUCCAUGAAGUCGGAAUCGCUAGUAAUCGUGGAUCAGAAUGCCACGGUGAAUACGUUCCCGGGCCUUGUACACACCGCCCGUCACACCAUGGGAGUGGGCUGCAAAAGAAGUGGGUAGUUUAACCUUCGGGAGGACGCUCACCACUUUGUGGUUCAUGACUGGGGUGAAGUCGUAACAAGGUAACCAAUCUCUAGAGUCCCCCGGUCCCGGUUUG